UACGUAGGGAGCGAGCGUUAUCCGGAUUUAUUGGGCGUAAAGCGUGUGUAGGCGGUUUAUUAAGUUUAAGAUUAAAGCCCGGAGCUCAACUCCGGUUCGUCUUAAAAACUGGUAGACUAGAGUGCGGUAGAGGUAAAUGGAAUUUCUAGUGUAGCGGUGAAAUGCGUAGAUAUUAGAAGGAACACCAGUGGCGAAGGCGAUUUACUGGGCCGUAACUGACGCUGAGGCGCGAAAGCGUGGGGAGUAAACAGG
RNAcentral lists this ribosomal RNA (252 nucleotides) under uncultured Mollicutes bacterium. RNAcentral describes it as "partial 16S ribosomal RNA". It matches the Rfam family "Bacterial small subunit ribosomal RNA", at positions 524 to 776 of the family's 1533-position model. Lineage: Bacteria; Bacillati; Mycoplasmatota; Mollicutes. The record is from RNAcentral.